UUCGCCUUGUGCCAGCAGCCGCGGUAAUUCCAGCUCCAAUAGCGUAUAUUAAAGUUGUUGUGGUUAAAAAGCUCGAAGAUGAACCUUGGGCCUGGCUGGCGGGCCCGUCUCACCUCGUGCACUGGGCCGGCCGCUUCCUUCCCUCUGUGGAAUCCCCUACCCUUCACUGGGUCAAAGGGGAAACUGGUUUUUUACUUUGAAAAGAUCAGAGUGCUCCAGGCCGGCCUAUGCUCGAAUUCUUUAGCAUGAAAAAAUAAAAUAGGACGCGCGGAUCUAUUUUGUUGGCUGACCGGACCGACGUAAUGAUAAAUAGGGACAGUCGGGGGCAUCAGUAUCCAACUGUCAGAGGUGAUAUUCUUGGAUCAGUUGAAGACUAACUACUGCGAAAGCUUUUGCCGAGGAUGUUUUCAUUAAUCAGGAACGAAAGUUAGGGGAUCGAAGACGAUCAGAUACCGUCGUAGUCUUAACCAUAAAACUAUGCCGACGAGGGAUCGGACGGUGUUAUUCAUGACGCGGUCGGCACAUAUACAAGAAAUCAAAGUGCUCGCGCUGCAGGGGGAGUAUGCUCGCAAGGAUGAAUACUAUAAAGAAAUUGACGGAACGGCACCAGCAGGGGUGGAGCCUGCGUUUUAUAUGACUCAGCACGAGGAAUCUCACCAGGUCCAGACACAAUAGGGAUUGACAGACUGCGAUCUCUUUCUUGAAUUUGGGGGGGGGCGCCGCCAUCGCCCGUUCUGAGGUUGGGGGGGUGGACUUUGUCUGCUUUAAUUAGCGAUAACGAACGAGAUCUGAAACCUGCUAAACUAGUCCGGCACUGGCUCCGGCAGGUGCGCUGGGUUUCUUAGAGGGCACUUUCC
Molecule: ribosomal RNA, 857 nt
Filed under: uncultured fungus
Lineage: Eukaryota; Fungi
Description: bacterial SSU rRNA
Rfam family: Eukaryotic small subunit ribosomal RNA
Source: RNAcentral